AGAGUUUGAUCAUGGCUCAGAACGAACGCUGGCGGCGUGGAUAAGACAUGCAAGUCGAGCGCUGAUUACAGGGUAGCAAUAUUCUGUGGUCGGAGCGGCGCAAGGGUGCGUAACACGUGGGCAAUCUGCCGUGAAGUCGGGGACAACUUGCUGAAAGGCGAGCUAAUACCGGAUGUAAAAAUUGGAAGGCAUCUUCUGAUUUUCAAAGCUGGGGACCGUAAGGCCUGGCGCUUCAUGAUGAGCCCGCGGCCUAUCAGCUAGUUGGUGAGGUAACGGCUCACCAAGGCUAAGACGGGUAGCUGGUCUGAGAGGACGACCAGCCACACUGGAACUGAGACACGGUCCAGACACCUACGGGUGGCAGCAGUCGAGAAUUUUUCACAAUGGGCGAAAGCCUGAUGGAGCGACGCCGCGUGGGGGAUGAAUGGCUUCGGCCCGUAAACCCCUGUCAUUUGCGAUCAAACGUUAUUAUUUAAAAGAUGAUGACCUGAUAGUAGCGAAAGAGGAAGGGACGGCUAACUCUGUGCCAGCAGCCGCGGUAAUACAGAGGUCCCAAGCGUUGUUCGGAUUCACUGGGCGUAAAGGGUGCGUAGGUGGCGAGGUAAGUCGGAUGUGAAAGCUCGGAGCUCAACUCCGAAAUGGCAUUGGAAACUACCUUGCUCGAGGGUUGGAGGGGGGACUGGAAUUCUCGGUGUAGCAGUGAAAUGCGUAGAUAUCGAGAGGAACACCAGUGGCGAAGGCGAGUCCCCGGACAACUCCUGACACUGAGGCACGAAAGCUAGGGGAGCAAACAGGAUUAGAUACCCUCGUAGUCC
Molecule: ribosomal RNA, 815 nt
Filed under: uncultured bacterium
Lineage: Bacteria
Description: bacterial SSU rRNA
Rfam family: Bacterial small subunit ribosomal RNA
Source: RNAcentral